This 253-nucleotide ribosomal RNA is filed under the name uncultured bacterium. RNAcentral describes it as "partial 16S ribosomal RNA". It matches the Rfam family "Bacterial small subunit ribosomal RNA", at positions 524 to 776 of the family's 1533-position model. The record is from RNAcentral.
UACGAAGGGGGCGAGCGUUGUUCGGAUUUACUGGGCGUAAAGGGCGCGCAGGCGGCUUAUUUUGUCAGGCGUGAAAGCCCCGGGCUUAACCUGGGAACUGCGUUUGAUACGGAUGGUCUAGAGUUCGGGAGAGGAGAGUGGAAUUCCCAGUGUAGAGGUGAAAUUCGUAGAUAUUGGGAAGAACACCGGUGGCGAAGGCGGCUCUCUGGACCGAGACUGACGCUGAGGCGCGAAAGCGUGGGGAGCGAACAGG